CCCCGCCUCAGGUUAAGGCAGGCUAAGCUGAGGGAAAGGAGGAGAGUGUGAGGCGACGGUGGGUUGGCCGGCGGAGUCCGGAGACGGCGGGGCUGAAAGGAGCCUGGUAGCUGUGGGAUGGCCGGCGUGGCACGGCUGGCGCAGAGGGAGCGAGCCGGAAGUCGCCUCGCUGCGCCUCCCCGGCGCCCCUGAAGGAGAGGCGAUGCGCUGACCAGAAAGAGGCAUGACCUUGCAGUGAAGAGGCAGCUUUCGUAGAGAGAUGGCAGCAACCGAAGGCCAGGAAUCUAACCUGCGAAAGGCAGCACCAUUUACGCAUUUCCAGCUUCCAUGGAUAAGCAUUAGGACUUUCUAUGGUGCUGUGCCUCAAGCCAGAGAGUGAGUGCAGUGCAGAAAGGAACUUGCGAAGCAGGUUGGGCCACACCAGCCUUCCCUAAUGCGAUGCCCUCUAGAUGUUUUGAACCACAACAGCCAUGCUAGCCGGGGCUGAAAGCAGUUGCAGCCAAAACAUUAGGUGACACCAGAUUGGGUAAGGCUAGCCUACACAAACAAGCCUACACACACACAUGAGCGAAUGAAAAAAACCCCUACUUGAUUUCCUAUAUGUAUGAUCAUGAGAGAACAAUCCCAUCAUAAACAGCUGUAAUCUACCCAAGUGCAACUGAAAUGACUGCAAAGUUCAAUACUAGUAGGGCCUGCUGCCACUAACCCCUCCUCCCUUUGCAUUUGGCCAACCCCCUCACCUAUCCCCUCAAACUCACCCAAACUGCCCCUCCAACUCCUAGCUCUCCCCAUGUCCCUCACAGCUUGUCCCAAGCCCCACCACCUUUUAAGGGAAGGGAGAAGCACUUCAGAGAGUGGUUUAUUGAUGUGCCCCUCUUUCAUUAAACAGCUCAUGUGGCCCAUGUACCAUCCACACUGUUCACUUGGCUACCUGCUGUCAUGUUAGAGUUGGGAUGGCCACCUAUUGGUGGUGGUACAAACUGCAGCAUGAUGACAGCCUUGCAUUUUUAUGUAAAUAGGAAGAAAAUAAAACUACUGGUUGUGUUUGAAACACUGGUGAAUGGAGGUAAAGUUUUAAGAAGAGAAGGUGACGGUGUAAAGUUGGUCAGUCUUACUGGCUUUAGCAGUAAUUUGGGGGACAACUUUUUGGGAAUGAAAUAUUGGGAUGGGCCACAAGUUCUAGUAUUAUGAGAGUAGAAAAAUGUCCAUAUGCUUUAUAAUUUUACAAAGCUCUAUUUGUUCCACUACCACUUUAGUGUUUUUUUUACACAUAUUUAUUUCUUAAAAGUUAUACAGAAGCCAGAAUUUAACAUGGGGUUUUUAGUACAGAAACCAGAAAGAGGUCCAGCCAUAUUUCCCCAAAGAAGCCGUUAUGCCCAGCAAGCAUUUUUGCUGUAGCCUGCGGCAGAAGGAGGAAACAAACAAGUACUAGUUUUUCAGCUUCUCUGAGCAUUUUGCUAGCUAGUCAGCAGUGAACAUCCGGCAACUGAAAGCAGUGGGAGCUGUUCUCUUUACAAACAUCUGUUCAAGUACUUUAACACUGAUGUUUUAUUAGAAUUUCUCUGUCUUCUGAACCUGGAGAGGAAGAAUUGCUGUGUGGAAUGAAGUUGAAGGGGAGCAGAGCAAUAUCCUUGCUUUGACAGUAAUUCCCAAACUCUGGGCUGGGGGGACACUAGUGGGGAAAAGACUGUGCUGUCUGAAAAAUAAUAUAUUAUUCGCCUCUAUUGUACUGCACUUGUAGCAAUAAAGUCCUUAGCUGAGCUGGUGUGAUGUGGACAUUAAUAGCAUGAAUGCUGUGAACUUGCCCAUUUAAGGUUAUGUAAAUAGGGAAGCUGCAGCCGCCUUUGAACCAUAGGCGUGGGAUAGGUUUUCUCUUUCUGCCAAUUCUCUAUUAGUGCCAAUGCAGGCUUCCCUGCAAAAGUGAGAUGUGGCUUCAGAGAGAGUAUUUAUAACACCAGCAGCAACGAAAGUGCAUGUUAACUGCAGCUAAUGUUGCACCUACUUUGGCCCUCAGACCCACUCAGUUCUUAAGGAAAAUUACAAAGCAGUUUUCGGGAUGGUAAACAUCUCACAUGGGAUAGUUAAAGACUGGGGUGAUGUCCAAAGAGGUAAAGAAGCCUAAGGGACAGAGUGUAGAAGCAGGAGGCAGAAGGGGGAGGGCGAUGCAGAGCAGGCAAUGGACUUGAGCAAGAAGAACCUAAAGGAAUAGUAUGUGAACAGUGCUGAUUUGAGGGGAAAGAACUGAGCUCAUAUUCCCCCCUAUAAUUUUCUAUUACACUGCCUUAUGCUGAGCCAGUCUAUGGGUUCCAUCUAGGUCAGUAUUGCCUAUUCCAGGGUUUCUCAAACGUGGGUCUCCAGCUGUUCUUUUGGACUACAAUUCCCAUCAUCUCUGGCCACUGGUCCUGCUAGCUCGGGGUGAUGGGAGUUGUAGUCCAAAAACAGCUGGAGACCGACGCUUGAGAAACCCUGGCCUAUAUUGAGUGCCAGCAGCCCAGGUUUCCAGAGGCAAUCUCUUCCACUACGCUGUCCAGCGGAGCUUUUUUUUGGAAAGCAUGGAGCCUAUUAUACUCUUGCCCAAAGGAGGUGGUAGAACCAAUGAUAGCUUGCUGUGACUUUGUUUGCAAAGCAUUUAGGUGCUAAAAUCACUUGCAUCUGUCAGAACCUUCACUCCGUUGUUACUGCAGAUGAGUCUCAAGAGGUGUUCUCAAAGCUUCUCAUUUUGGGAGAAAAACAACCAUCAAGACCUCCCCCCCCCCCAAGCUAAUGCUAAUCUAGGCGGCAUCAUCAGAAAUAUAGUGUCCAGAUCAAGGGAAGUCAUACCGGUAGUACCAUUCUAUUCUGCCUUGGUCAGGCCACACCAGGAAUACUGUGUCCAAUUCCAGGCACCACAAUUUAAGAAGGAUGUUGGCAAGCUGAAACUUGUGCAGAGGAGGGCAACCAAGAUAAUCAGUGAUCUGGAAACUAAGCCUUACCGAGGAGUGCUUAGUUGAAGGAGCUGGGUAGGUUUAGCCUGGAAAAAGGGAGACUAAGAGGAGAUAUGAGAGCCAUCUUUAAAUAUCUCAAGGGCUGUCACAUGGAAGAGGGAACAACCUUGAGUUCUCCUGCUCUGGAGGGUAGGACUUGAACCAAUGGCUUCAAGUUACAAGAAAGGAGAUUCCAAUUCAACAUCAGGAAAAAACUUUCUGAUGGUAAGAGCUGCUCGACAGUGGAAUGGUCUCUUUCGGGAGGUUGUGGGCUCUCUUUCCUUGGAGGUUCUUAAGCAGAGGUUGGAUGGCUGUUUUUCAUGGAUGCUUUCGCUGAGAUUCCUGCGUUGCAGGGGGUUGGACUACAUGACCCUUGGGUCCUAAUUAUACAAUUCCAUGAUUCUAUGAUCAGAGUGGAAUGGAUUCUUUCAAUCUGAAAUGAGGCUUUGGCGAAAACAGUAUAUGCUUCCUUUUUAAAGACUUAGACUCCCUGGCACCUGACCACGCACCUUCAAAUCCAGACAGGUUUGCCUUAGCCUUUAAUCUUCUGAGUCAAAUAACGCACGCUGUCUCUUCAUACUACCCUGGGCUAUAAUCAUAUUCCGGUGUUUUUAAAAGUCAGAAUCAGUCAGGAUCAUAUUGAGACUGUUCCAGAAAAGCAUAAACUAGGCCAGACAGUUGCUCAUAAUAUCUAAGGAGUGUGUUUAGUUCAGGAGCUUUGUGCAUUUGGGCACAACAGUGGAAGUUUAGGAUCAGUUUUCGUUCUCCAAGAUGGGCUGCCUUCCCAGGUUGAUGAGCCCUAUCUGCCCCUCAUUUAAAUACAAAUCCACCACUAAUACAACAUUACUGCACCAAUACCAUGUUGCAAAAUGCAGCUGCGCAAAAAAUACUAGUCUGGAAGGGCCCACAGAAAAAAAAAAGCCACAGAUAGAAUGGAAUAAAAUAGGAUAUUAGAGCAGUUAUGCUGGAAAAGAAGAGUUGUCUGGAGAAGGAAAUUUAAUAGUGGCCAGUGGGGAGUAUUUUUGCUGCCUUGAAUAAAAGAAGAAGAAAGGAGUCAAAGAGAACUCCACGGUUUUGCAUUGGGAGAGAACCAAGAAUAGAAGUAUUACCCAGCGUGAGAGAAUUUAGUGCAGAAGGAGAACAAACAAACCAUUUUGGAUACGGUAAGCUUAAGUAUAAGGGGAAGAGAGUAUAGAGACCCCCCCUCAUCAGAAGCAGUUCCUCCCCAAGCAGCAAUGGCAGCGAGGACGCUGAGGAAAGCAGUCAGGAAGUGGGGAGAGAGGGCCAGGGCUCUGGCAGCACGGGAGAGCCCCUGCAACACAGGAGGAAGGAAGAGAGAGGGGGGAAGGGGGGGGAGAAGGAAAACAUAGAGCGUAGACCCUUUCCUCCGGUUCCGGAAUUACGCAGGAGAAGGAGGGGAAGGAGGUUUGCUGUCCCAAGACUAUUAUGUUGGAGGAAGUCAAGGGGCGGUUCAGUGCCGGAUUCUGCAUCGGACUGAGCAGACAUGUUGUACAUACCCAGCUCACUGUAAAUAGCCUGCACUAAUAAAAAGCUGUUUAAAGACAAGCAUGCGGAGUGUCGUUACUCUAGAGUAGUCGCAAGAACCUCUGGCAUUAAGAUAAGUGGGAAACUUACAGCAAGCAAGAGCUACAAGACAACCAUCUUUAUAUGAGAGGGGAAGAUGAAAGUUAUAUCAGAAGAAGAAAAGCUGAGCUGCAGGUCAUCGGCAUAAAAGGGAUAGUAACCGUUAAAAGAACAAAUGAUUGUGUUUUACUUUUAACUGCUUGACACGUUGUAAGAUGGCUUGGUUGCAUCUAACAUCCUUGGCAGCUGCGCUUGCCAGUUACUGCCUGCUUGUCAGUGAAGUCAGAUUUGGCAAUCUGCGUGUUGUCUGCUGCGAAAAUAAAAUAUCACUUUGUCACCCGACAGAACGAAGGGGUUACUUUGGAGCAGGGAGGAGUGGCAUCCUUAUCACCCUUGCUGUGACAACACGGAGGGGGCAAGCUCAUUAAUCAUGCGGCGCCAUCGUUUUUAAAAAUACCACAAGGAGGCAUGGUGCAUUCAUCAAAGGUGCAUGAUUUUACACACACACACACACCACCCUUCAUCAGACGAGAUGUCGAGGUGGUAGACAAGCUUAAAAAUGAAGCAUAUAGUGGUACACAAAAUAAAAGCAACAGGUAAAAGUCUUCAAGCUGGCUAAUUAAAUAAAAAUGCCUGGCACCAGUGUUUUUGCCAAGCAAAAUCCCUUUGCAGGGGCAUUCCAUAGCUAGCAUGCCUCUGCUUAGCUAAUGUCCAUCUCAAUGCAGAUGGAAGAGACUUAUCAUGGAAUUGUAGAGCCGGAAGGGACCCCGAGGAUCAUGUAACCCAAACUCCCUGCAGUGCAAGAAUACGCAGCUGCCCCAUAUGGGAAUCGAAUCUGCGAUUUUGGUAUUAUCAGCACCAUGCUCUCUAACCAACUGAGCUAUGGGAGGUCCUAGAGACCUGGGUAGGGGCUUGUGGAGACCUUAAAGCAGGUGUGGGGAAUGCUUUUCAGUCUGAGGGCCACAUUUCAUUCCGGGCAGCUUUCCAGGGGCCACAUGCUGUGUGCGCACAGCAGGGCCAGAGGCAGAAGGGAGCAGAGCGGUGAAUGUGAAUUUUACCUUUUGUACAGUAUGCUUCUUUCCACACACUCACCCCCAACGCCCCACCUGCCAUCAAGGCAAAGGAGGCAUUGCCAGAUCUCAAGGACACAUUGCAGCUGAGCAAAAAGAACCAAAGAAGGAUGCAAAGCAGGACCCCUGCUGACGGAAAGGCUUGCAGGGUUGCAUUGUGGACCCUCCUCCCUUGCAGGUUUUUAAGCAGAGGUUGGGUGGCCAUCUGUCAUGGAUGCUUUAGCUGAGAUUCCUGCAUUGCAAGGGGUUGGACUACAUGACCCUUGGGGUCCCUUCUAACUCUUCAAUUCUGCGAUUUGGCCCCUUGGUCUCAGGUUGCCCACUCUUGCCUUAAAAGUACAAGCAGGUUGAAGUGGGAGCAGGGGCUUGAGCCCCAAGCUGUUUUAGGUCCCUUAAAUUAUUAUUAUUAUUAUUAUUAUUAUUAUUAUUAUUAUUAUUAUUUUAUUUAUACCCUGCCCAUCUGGCUGGGUUUCCCCAGCCACUCUGGGCAGCUUCCAACAGAAACAUACAAUACAAUAAUGGAUUAAACAUUAAAAGCCUCCCUAAACAGGGCUGCCUUCAGAUGUCUUCUAAAAGUCUGGUACAGUAGUUGUUUUUCUCUUUGACAUUUGAUGGGAGGGCAUUCCACAGGGCAGGCGCCACCACCGAGAAGGCCCUCUGCCUAGUUCCCUGCAACUUGGCUUCUCGCAACGAGGGAACCACCAGAAGGCCCUCGGUACUGGACCUCGGUUUCUGGGGGUGGAGACGCUCCUUCAGGUAUACUGGACCGAGGCCGUUUAAGGGCUUUAAAGGUCAGCACCAACACUUUGAACUGUGCUCGGAAACGUACUGGGAGCCAAUGUAGAUCUUUCUUAGGACCAGAAGUUAACAGGUAUCCAGUGAAGGCUUUCUGUUUGUUUGUUUAUUUUAGAGCUGGUGUAAAACGAGUCGUGCCAGUUGGAGUUGUAGCAGCUGUGUUUUGUGCUAAUUGAGGCUUCUGAGCUGUAUUCAGCGGCAGCUGCUGUGUAACACAUUGCAUUAAACUAACCGAGAUCACUGUGGCUGGAAAGCGGAUGAAGUAAAGUUUGUCUCCUAACUUGGGGUCAUCAAAUGGAGCCUAAUAUUGAAAAAUUCUGGACAGACAAAAGGGCAUCGUUGAACUAUGGAGUUUCCUCUUACAAGCCGUUGAGAUAGCUCUGUCCUCCAAAAAUUGAUCUAACCCUCUUCUUAAAAUAUCCAGGUUGAUAGCUGUCAGUAUAACACAAUAUGGCUAUUUUCUAUUCUCCACUGUUGGAGGCAAUAUUAUUCUAUGUACCAACUGACGAGAUGGUUGGACAGUGUUCUCGAAGCUACAAACAUGAGUUUGACCAAACUGCGGGAGGCAGUGCAAGACAGGAGUGCCUGGCGUGCUAUGGUCCAUGGGGUCACGAAGAGUUGGACACGACUAAACGACUAAACAACAACCAACUGAUGGUGCUUGCAGGCUCCCCAUGGGCAUCUGGUUGGCCACUGGGAGAACACGAUGCUGGACUAGACGAAUCUUUGGCCUGAUCUAGCACGGCCCAUGUUGUUACAAGAGGAAGGGGAAGUUCUCCGGCACUCAGGGAAGAAGCUAUUCCCCACAUGCAUUGAUACAGCUCAUGAUUUUCAUGCAGAAGGUCCCUGGCUCCUCUCCAGGUAUGGUGGGAAAUGUUGUUCAUCUGAAACUGAGACAAACCACUGCCAGUUAGUUUCUGUAAUAGCGAGAUACAUGGACCAAUUUUCCAUUUGGAAAAUUCCAGCUCCUCUUCUCAGAUUACUGUUAAAGUGAACCACCACGAGAUCUAUGGAUGAAGGGUGGUAUACAAAUUUAAUAAAUGAACAAAAAGGCCCUAGCCACAAUGCCGGAUUUCCAUAUAAGCUAAACAAGCUAUAUCUUAGGGCCCCACUCUCUUGGGGGCCCACAAAAAAUUUAAAGGGAAAAAACCUGGAUGUACAUUUCCAAAAUAUAAGAUGAUAAGCAAAUAAAAUAAAUCUACAUACAGCAACAGUGUUUUGUGUUGUGUAGGCUCCUAUUUGUUAUGUGCAAAUGGCUUUUGAUACCUAUUAGGGCCAUAAAUUACCAUAUGGCAUAUAUUCAACACAAAAAACAGUGACAAUUUGUUGUUGACAAAGGACAGCUGGACAUAUAAAGGGCCCCUUUACCUUCAGUAGCUAAACCUAAAUCUGGCCCUGCCUAGCCAUUGUUGCGGGGCAGCUUCAGGCAUUACAGCACCCGAAUAACAAUAACAAUAAAACAACAACAAUAUUUGUACCCCCACCAAUCUGAUUGGGUUGCCCCAGCCCCUCUGGGCAGCCUCCAGCAUACACGAAAACAUAAUAAAGCAUUAAACAUUUAAAACUUCCCUAUACAACGCUGCCUUCGGGUGUCUUCUAAAGGUUGUAUCUCCUUGAGAUCCAAUGGGAGGGCAUUACACUGGGUGGAUGCCACUACCAAGAAGGCCCUCUGCCUCAUUUCCUGUAACUUCACUUCUCGCAGUGAGGGAAUCGCCAAAAGGCCCUCGGACUCAGUGUCUGGCCUGGAUGAUGGGGGUGGAGGUAUACAGGGCCGAGGCCACUUAGGGCUUUAAAGGUCAGCACCAACACUUUGAAUUGUGCUCAGAACUGUACUAGUGGGAGCCAACGUAGCUCUUUCAGGACCGGUGUUAUAGGGUCCCAGCCACUCCCAUGAUGGGGGUGCAAACUAGAAUCACAGGAUCAUAGAAUUUCCAGAUCCCACCCUUCCACCCUGCAGUGUGGGGCUUUGCACCAGCUCUUCCCUUGAGGAGAAGCUGGUGCAAAGCUCUGUUACACCACUGGGGGAGGGGAGAUCUGCCCCCCCCCCAGAGGCAAAGCCGGGUGGCAGAACACCUCACCUCUUCCCAACUUGGCAGGAGGGGAGGUUUUCCGCAGAGCUUUGCGUGACAGCGGGCUAUUCCACCAAGGGUGAUGUUUCAUGCCCUCCUGUAUCUGCCUAAAUUAAAGCCUUUUCUUUUUCCCAAGAGAACAAGAAAAGUGAUGUUACCGUAUGUCAGGGAUCAAGCACAGCCAUUGCAACUUCAGUAUGGAAAUGCCUCACAAGUCUGCCACCAGAUGGCAAUCUCUGCCUGUGGUUGCACUGAGGUAAUAAUAGCUAAGGUCUUCAAAGAGUGUGAAUAAAUUCUGAAUGAAACAGACAGGGGUGGGAAAAGUUGGCUCUUAGGACUCUCCCCCUCGACAGCCAGACCCUUACCAGCCCUGCUUCACACCCUCUUUGAGAGGGUUUCGUUUUCAUUCUUAUCUGACUGGAAUGAGUCCUUGCACUUCACAGAUUUCAAGGGGGCCGGGGAGGGGGGGGGACAUGACUGGCCAGUGAGAGAUUCCCCGCCUAGGAUUUUAUUCUUUUUAUUUAUGCCAAGUUUCAAGGAAUGAGAUUAAUUCACUUUUAUUUAUUAUCCCCUGCUUAUUUGGUUAUUAUUAUCUUUCUCCUUGUCCUGACCAUCCUCCCGAGGUUAUAUUCACAAUCUUUCAAUUUGGCUGGACUCUACACUUAACCGGCCCGGAACAUUCCACCAGAGAGAAGGUCGCCACCCAUGGGACAGAGGGAUAUCGACUGAAUGACAACCCAGCUUUUACCUUGGGUUUUAAUAGGUUUUAUUGGUAACCAUAUUUGUAAUGUAUUUUUUGUUGGUGUUUGUCUUUUUGAUGCUAUGGCCCGCCGGCUAUGCAAAUAAAGUUGAAGCUUUAGUCCUUGCACUCCAAUAAUGCUUCUUGGAUGAAGAAUAGAGAGGGGUGCACGAGUGCCUAUAGAAAUGGGAUAUGCUACCCCUAAGAAUCUUGCUCUCAAGGGUCGCAGCAAUGGUUUUGUGUUCACUCACUUUUCAUAGCAGCCAGAAAUGGCUGCACCCCUUUAUCUCAUUCCUUGCAAAUAUUCUGCCUCUCAGGGCCAGGCACAGCAAACUGUGGUUGAUUGCAAAAAGCAAAACCAAACCCCAAACCCUCCAAAACUAACUCUAUUACCCAUAUAUUGUCUCACUCUAGGUGGGAACAAAGCUGGUGCAUUAAUGCUAUAUGUAUUGGUAGCUGGAAAUUGCUACAGUUUAGGGGUUGCCAACAAGGAGCUUGCAGGUGCACUUGGCUGUGGGCUGGUGCCCAUUACAGUUUCUCCAAUUUGUAUAUGUGCCCAGUGGCCCAGAAAGGUUGGUGACCCUUAGGAGCUCAUACUUGGGGUAGAAAAUAUUAUUUAUUUAUUUAUACCCCGCCCAUCUGGCUGGGUUUCCCCCACCACUCUGGGCGGCUUCCAACAAAGAUAAAAAUACAUUAAAAUAUCACAGAUUAAAAACUUCCCUAAACAGGGCUGGCUUUAGGUGUUUUCUAAAUAUCAGGUAGUUGUUUAUCUCCUUGACCUCAGAUGGGAGGGCGUUCCACAGGGCGGGCGCCACUACCGAAAAGGCCCUCUGCCUGGUUCCCUGUAGCUUUGCUUCUCGCAGUGAGGGAACCGCCAGAAGGCCCUCGGCGUUGGAUCUCAGUGUCCGGGCUAAAUGAUGGGGGUGGAGACGCUCCUUCAGGUAUA
Molecule: non-coding RNA, 10166 nt
Organism: Zootoca vivipara (common lizard)
Lineage: Eukaryota; Metazoa; Chordata; Lepidosauria; Squamata; Lacertidae
Source: RefSeq, a predicted model, not a curated record